UACGAGGGGUGCAAGCGUUGCUCGGAAUUAUUGGGCGUAAAGGGUAGGUAGGUGGUCUUAUUUGUCAGGGGUGAAAUCCUUGGGCUUAACUCAAGAAGUGCCCCUGAAACGGUAAGACUAGAAUCUUGGAGAGGUGAGCGGAAUUCCCGGUGUAGCGGUGAAAUGCGUAGAGAUCGGGAGGAACACCAGCGGCGAAGGCGGCUCACUGGACAAGUAUUGACACUCAACUACGAAAGCGUGGGGAGCAAACAGGAUUAGAUACCCUGGUAGUCCACGCCGUAAACGAUGGGUACUAGCUUUAGUGGGUCUUGACCCCCGCUGAAGCGGCGCUAACGCACUAAGUACCCCGCCUGGGAAGUACGGUCGCAAGACUAAA
This 376-nucleotide ribosomal RNA is filed under the name uncultured bacterium. Its description in RNAcentral is "bacterial SSU rRNA". It matches the Rfam family "Bacterial small subunit ribosomal RNA", at positions 524 to 898 of the family's 1533-position model. The record is from RNAcentral.